AAUACGGUCCAUUUUGAUUCAACUGGACUUGGAAGUCCAAAACAAGUAACAAACAAAACCCAAACACAAUAAAUGUUAAGACAAAACCCAAACCAAACAAAAGCAAAACAUCACCCAACAAAAAGUCAAAUAGGAAAACAAAUUAGAGACAGUAAAGUAACAAAGGAAAGCACAAAAACACAUCUAGAAGCUUCUUCCAAACCCUUCAGUGACCAGCAACCCAAAACGGCCAAAAACCUUACCAAGAUUGGCAAUCGGAGCCACCAACUAGAGGAAUAGAGUUGAGAUUCAACGCUUAGAGUGACAAACAUUCUCAACUGAGAACUUCGAACAGAUAGGGAGGCAACUACAGCGGUUGGUGGAAACGACGAUUUAGAUCAGUCAGUUCCAAAACCCGAAGCAGAGCAUCCUCUACCCAAAAGGAAUCCUCCGAGCGCUUCAUUCCAUUAGGUACCAUCGCAUACACUGUUGUAUUUCCUUCUUUAGCGACAAAUUCGAAAUGACAAGAUGUGAAACCCCUCACUAGAUUCUUUACAUCCUGUUUCAUUAUCAAAAUUUAAGUAGAAGAAAAUUGGGAGAGAAGAAGAAGAACAGAGAAGAAGAGAGAAUUUUGAAUUAAGAAGAGAGAAUUCUGAAUUAUUUGUGUACUUUGCAUAACUAUUUUUCUGCAUACAUCUCAGACUUAAAAAGGAAAAUAACAGAAAAAGAAUGUGGGUUCAUUCUGUUACCAUCAAAAUGCUCUGUUUCACUAAUUCUUUACGCACCGUUUUGUUUAAUUGCAACUAACCACUUAAACUGAC
RNAcentral lists this long non-coding RNA (800 nucleotides) under Gossypium barbadense (sea-island cotton). RNAcentral describes it as "long non-coding RNA (GBAR_LNC001566)". Lineage: Eukaryota; Viridiplantae; Streptophyta; Magnoliopsida; Malvales; Malvaceae. The record is from RNAcentral.